GGGGGUAUAGGGUAACACGGCAUCCUACCGGGCUCCAGACCCGCUGAUCGGGGUUCAAAUCCCCGUGCCCCCA
Molecule: transfer RNA, 73 nt
Filed under: Thermoplasmatota archaeon
Lineage: Archaea; Methanobacteriati; Thermoplasmatota
Description: tRNA-Trp
Rfam family: tRNA
About the family: Transfer RNA (tRNA) molecules are approximately 80 nucleotides in length. Their secondary structure includes four short double-helical elements and three loops (D, anti-codon, and T loops).
Source: RNAcentral